Molecule: long non-coding RNA, 707 nt
Organism: Mauremys mutica (yellowpond turtle)
Lineage: Eukaryota; Metazoa; Chordata; Testudines; Geoemydidae
Exons: 3
Source: RefSeq, a predicted model, not a curated record
UUAGAAGGUGUAACCAUUGCUGAAACUGCUGUAACCACUUCCUUGGCCUCCCCAGAGGGCUUGGCGACACUUGCAGAUGUAGAGCGCUGACACGUCAGAACGCUGCAGCCUUGGGAAGAGUAUUUCUAUACCUCUAAAAUCUUGUGUCUGACUCUUCAACCCAAAAGCCUCUCCAGGCAGAAGAGGGGAGAAGACAAAACUAUGAUUCCUCCAUUGAGAAAGUCCAUACAGCCAAAGCCAGAUUUCCACUUCCGGAAGGUCACCUGCCUACGUCAGUCCACUUUAUUUUCAAAGAAAAGGAGAAGACACUAAUUCUCUCCUGUAGUUCAAAUAACUCAUCGUAUCGCUUCACCUUGGGGCUAUCAAUGUACCGUAAAUAAUAGUCCUCUCGCACAGUCACCGAGAACCAGCCUGGAGGCUUAUUAGCCUCACAAUCUGAGGAAGGGGCUAAUCCAACUUUGCCCCCUCCCAGACUGUGUUGAACUCAGUACAGAUAGAGGCCAGAAUCUGAGCCAUAAACUCCAGGUGCUGCUGGAUAAGAUACUGUAUCCGAAAAUAAUCAGAAGUCUGAUUCACAAGGAAAUGCCAUGUUUUCACCAAUGUGCAGCUGUUGAAAUUGAUUAGCCCUGAUAGAAUGCUAGAUGUAUUUGUUAUUUGUACAGUUUGAUUCACUUUUCUGACCUGUGGUUCUCAAACCCUUGCUUAAU